UCUAGUCGCAAACUGUAUUUGUGCUCCUGAAUGCUUGUAUGAUUCAGUUGUUCCUUCUAAUAAAAUAUGCCUUGCUUUCCCCUGGAUCAGUGAUGGGGUUUAAUGGGUGAGAGUGAGGGCCCUGUUCUCAUCUGGCUAACAUGACUCUAGUGAAAUGAAACUAUAAGGCUGGGUUUAGGAUUCAAGCCUGUGUUCUUCUGGUUUACCUUGGGUUCCUCUAUUCUACAGUAAACCUCUUAGUUGAAACUUAUUUACUAUCAAGCCCAAAAGGUCUACCAAGAAUUAGUAUUAGAAAUUGACCCUAGUUGCAAAUUAGGGAUAUCAUUAUGGUCCUGUAUUAUUGAGGGUCGUAUGUGUCUGUUCUUGACAUCUUUCCCUGUAUAGCUUCAGAGGGCACAGAAAGAGUCCUCAGUGGUGGAUCCUGGUUCUGUUGUUUCCUCCAGAGUUGUGGGUCUCCGAAUGAAUACCAGAGCUUUGACAUUUUAGAUGGCCCACGGCAACAUCUCCAUUGUUUUCAUGUACAUUUUUAUACCUGAAAUUUCUGGUAGUGUGGGCACUUGUCCUCCUGGCAGAUUUUGUCCUGGAGUUCAGAUUUGAAUACCUGUGGCCGUUUUGGCUUUUCAUCAGAAGCGUCUAUGAUUCCUUCAGAUACCAGG
Long non-coding RNA from Myotis lucifugus (little brown bat), 656 nucleotides. RefSeq lists it as uncharacterized. NCBI's taxonomy places the organism in Eukaryota, Metazoa, Chordata, Mammalia, Chiroptera, Vespertilionidae. The transcript has 3 exons. The record is from RefSeq and is a predicted model, not a curated record.